UACGUAGGAGGCAAGCGUUGUCCGGAAUUACUGGGCGUAAAGGGCGCGUAGGCGGUCAGCACAAGUCAGUUGUGAAAUCUCCGGGCUUAACUCGGAAAGGUCAACUGAUACUGUGCGACUAGAGUGCAGAAGGGGCAACUGGAAUUCUCGGUGUAGCGGUGAAAUGCGUAGAUAUCGAGAGGAACACCUGCGGCGAAGGCGGGUUGCUGGGCUGACACUGACGCUGAUGCGCGAAAGCCAGGGGAGCGAACGGG
This 254-nucleotide ribosomal RNA is filed under the name uncultured bacterium. RNAcentral's name for it is "partial 16S ribosomal RNA". It matches the Rfam family "Bacterial small subunit ribosomal RNA", at positions 524 to 776 of the family's 1533-position model. The record is from RNAcentral.